GUUUUACGUAAAUAUGCAGGUGUUUCGUAAUGCCCUCUGCUGUUCAAGAGGUGAAAUACAACAGAUUGGUGGGCAUUAACCAAAAUGUGCAUUAACCACAGGCCCUUCAUGGACUUCCUCUCUCAGAAUGCAAAAAAAUACUCCUUGAUUCAACAGGGGCUUGUAUAAGACAGAGCAGGAAACAUAAGGAAGGAAAUGCAAAACCAGAGAGAUAAAGUUCAGCCUUAUGCAAGAGAAAGACUUAAAUGCCCGUGUCAGUCCAUGUUCAUCCCCAAGGCUCCAGGUCCAAUCACGUCGGGCCCCCUCAGUCCCCGGGCCUCAAGCUUCAGCUCCACCUAGCCUUUAGGUUAAUCUGGCCCUGAUCCUUCUGUGUAAUUAUGUAAGAGAUUCACAUCAUAUUUUACUUUGGUUUUGCUGUAAUGAUCCAACACAUCUAUAAAAAAAUACUUCCACACUGAUUCUGUGUAAUAUACUGGUAAUGCAGUAAUCUGAGCCCAUUUUCCUCCAUAUGAGAUUUCAGGAUAUGAGUUGAGAAAUCACUACAAGAAAAAUAAGAGCACUUCCUUCUAUCUCAUUCCACAGAAUGUAACAUAUACGAAAAAAAAAAAAAAGACAAGGAUAUAUGGACAAUGAAGUUGGGGGGAAAAGGAAAGACAGAGGCAAGGGUCGGAUAUAAAGAGGCUUGAUUCUAAAAUGUAUGUUUGUUUUAAAACUGGUUUGCCUUGUGAAGACUCAUUUCCAUGAACACAGAGGACGAAUAGGAUCUGACUCAUCCUGACAGGUCUUCAUCAACAUCAGAUCAUUUUGGAAUACAGAUCAGGAUUUUAUUUUAAAACAGUAAGGUCUUGCUUAGUUUUUCUAUUGUACUUUUUUUAUUAUUAUUAAUUUAUAUUAAAUGUUAGCUGAUGUUGCGGUAUGUAAGACAUAAACUUUUCCAAAAAAAAAAAAAAACACAUAUGAUAUGUAAGACAGCGGAUAUUGCUUAAGUUAGAAGAUGUGUAAGGAACAUGGACUUGUAAUUGUUCUAUGGGUUGUGAUUAAUAGCAGCAUCAUAAUUAAAGUUAAUUAAAUUGCAUUUACUGUAAACUUUGUUUAGUAAGUGUGUGUAUUUGUAUUAGACCGGAUGUGAGUAGAUUGUUCCGCUUUACAUGGGCUUAACAGGAAGUUUAAAUAUAUAAUUUUGCAGAAAAAAAAAAACAAUAAAUAAUUGAUUACCAGAUAUUCA
Long non-coding RNA from Cyprinus carpio (common carp), 1225 nucleotides. NCBI's taxonomy places the organism in Eukaryota, Metazoa, Chordata, Actinopteri, Cypriniformes, Cyprinidae. The record is from Ensembl.